AAAAAAUAUCCCAAAGUCUCAAUGGCUCAAACAGUAAAGAUUUAUUUCUUGUUCACAUUAUACAUCACGGUGUCAUUGUCCUCCCUCUGGAUCCAGGCCACGGAGCUGCUGUUCAUAGUCAUCAUGGCAUCAGGAAGAGAGAGCUUGGCAAAGCCUUCGUGUGCACUUAAAACUUUCAUCCCAGAGAGGCCCAAGCGCCGAGAGACACACCUCCUGUGUGGAAGGAUUCCAGAUGACAGAUACAAAGGCAGCAUGGGUUAACUGUCCAGCCCUCAGAAUGCGCUGUGCCCUACUGUACUCCCCUCAUAAAGCGGGGGGCCUUCGCAAUGGGGAAGCCAGGCAAACACCACGUCGGCCCAGUGACCAAGGUCUACACGCAUCUGUGAUGAGACAUAUUGGUAGCAGGAUCUUAAUGGGAUGUGAUGAGAAGGGCGUCUCUCCUCUGUGGUCUUCCCACCCCAACCCCAUACCCUCAGUCUGAUAAUCAUGGUGAAAACAUCAGACAAACGCAAAUUGAAGUAUAUUCUACAAAAUACCUGCCCUGGAUUCCUCAAAACUGUCAAAGUCAUCGAAAAUGAGGAAAGUCUGAGAAACUGCCACAGCCCAGAGGAGGCUAAAAAAAAAGAUGACAAACAAAUGCAAUGUGAUGUCCUGGAUGGGACCCCGGACAGAAAACGGACCUUAGGGGAAACCUAGUGAAAUCUGAGUAACAUGUGCACUUUAGUUAAUGCACCAAAGUUGGUUCCUUAACUAUGACAAAGGUAGCCAGAAAAUGUAAGGUGUUACUAGUAGGAGAAACUGGGGGAGGGGCAUGUGGAAACUCCAUAUGCUAUCCUCGCAACUUUUCUUCAAAUCAAAGUAUUCUUAAGAAAAGUGUUUAUAUAAAUUAAACAAAAAAGAGGUGCAUGCCAUUUCCACUCACAGAAUUAACCCAAGAACUCGGAGCUCCUUGCUCACACCAGAUUCUUCCUCUCAAAUACUGUCACUCAAUAUCAUGAGAUUAUGAAAAUAAAGGAAGUCUAUACCUUGUGGCCAGGAGUGACCAAAUACUAAAUAAAUUUUUCAACUGUAGUUAGACGGAGAAAGGAAAUCAAGUGAAAUGGUAUGCACCAAUAUUCUGUAAAACAAAGCAAAACAGCAAAGAGAAAUAAUAUUUAUUCAGGAUUACCACUUCCAAUUUCAUUGACCUGUGGCCACACCUAACCCAUGUGGCAGACGGUGGCAGUGUGCAGUCCCACCGUGUGUCUAGGGGAUUUGUGGCUGUGCCUUCUUCCACCCUUUGGACCUGAAGCUUAGUGCCACUUCUCAGACUCCUGUGCCCUCGUGUGACUCGUUGGCUAGGAUUUCGAUUUUUUUCUUUACUCAUCCUGGGUGACUGUCUCCCUUGGUCCAGUCUGAUCCCUGGAACACCCUAAAACACAAAGUCCUUUUUUGUGUAUCAUGCUUCUACACUGCCUGCCUGGCCCCAGGAGCGCCGUGGACAGAGAGAAUAACAUCUGCGUUACAAAAGGUUAUCAGAACGCAGUAGAAUUGAGGCUAGUGAGGAGGGUGGAAUGGAACAGACCUAGAACCAUGCAUGAUCUGCAGGGGACACAGCAAGGGGCCUGGCUGGCUAGGCUAAAGGGUUUAUGUGAGGGUGUACUAAGGAAACUGGAGGGAGAUGUGGUGUUGGGUUGCGAAGGGUCCUGUGUGCUUGGCAGAGAAGCUUGCGCUUCUCCGAGUGGAGAGAUUCCACUGUGUCAGUGGAAGGGUGCAGGUUGCCUUGUUCUCCACAGAGGAAUCUGGUGACAGUGCUCAGGAGGGAUGGUGGCAGACAUCAGAAAUCAAAAUCUGAAAGCCAGAACCCAUGUUCAUUCAAAUUACCAUGAACAUUCUGGAAUGGAAAACAAUAAUAAAAAGAGGUCCAAAGGUGUGAGAUGGAAGCUGUCAGUUUUAACUCCAAAAUAUACUUAUCUCUUGUACACUAUCUGUGGUUGAGAUCCACAAGAAAGGGAGCUCCCAGAGUCAUAUGUUUAGAUGUUUUGUUUACAAAUAAACUGUCACAGCAUAGAAGUUUUCCUUCUCUCUCAUCUGAUUUUUUUUUCUUGGAGCAGUUUAUAGUCUAUAUUUCCACUUCUCCUCUCAAAGUAACAUACACCUUUGAAUGGCUCGCAGGGUCACUUCUGCCUUCAACAAAUUAGCAGCUGGGCCAGGAGCCAAGAUCAUGCAGUUUGGUGUUUCCAAGUGGCCUUGUUGCAUCUGCUGGGCUAAAUUACCAGUUUGUGGGACCAGCGGGCCCCAGUGUGUGUUGCUAUGCCCCUGGGAGAGAGUCUCGUGUUUCUCUAGUGUCAGGUCUGUAGUCAGUAUCAUUACAUUCUCAUUUCUUCAAAUAUUGCCACUGAUUGGAAUUUGUUUUACAAAAGAGUCACUGAGUUGGAGUCAUUGCUACAAGAGUGCAUUGACUUCUAGAGCAAAUAUAAUAAAAGGUGAGUAGAAAUUAGGUAAUGAAGUAACAAAUGUUUGGGGAAAGUGCUGGCUGCCGGCGUCCUGCUCCUGGAUAUCCAACACAGCAUCUGUGAAUUGCGCUCAUCCAAGCUGCCAUCAAUCUGCCUUCUCUCUGCUGAAAACCUGUCUGCUAUUCUCAUGAAUUGCCAGCUAGGUAAUAAUUAUAUCUGUCCUAGGCACUUUACUCCUUUACAGAAUUUUUUAUAGUGUCCGUGGGAUUCCUUUCCUAACACAGAACACGACAAGGUACAACAGUUAGGCACAGUGCAUGAUGUGAGGGUAAAGAGAAAGG
RNAcentral lists this long non-coding RNA (2776 nucleotides) under Homo sapiens (human). Its description in RNAcentral is "long non-coding RNA NONHSAT150684.1". The record is from RNAcentral. Lineage: Eukaryota; Metazoa; Chordata; Mammalia; Primates; Hominidae.